AAAGGGGAGCUUGAUCAAGGCUGAGAGUAAGUGACGACUUAGACCCAUUGACCUGAUUUGGAUAAUGCCAACGUAGGAAAUGUAU
Molecule: non-coding RNA, 85 nt
Filed under: uncultured Faecalibacillus sp.
Lineage: Bacteria; Bacillati; Bacillota; Erysipelotrichia; Erysipelotrichales; Coprobacillaceae
Source: RNAcentral